AAUGAUCGAGAUGCCAAGAUCAUCACAUUCCGCCUGUUCUACUUCUCUUUAGCUUUCGAUUUCCAAUAUCAGGGUUCUUUAAGAGGGUGUUCCAUACCAUGGGGUGUGCUCCUAGUCAGUGUACUCCGAACGUCUAUUGGGUGGUCAUCUGCUUUGAUUUUGAGGUGCCUUAAAUUUGAUUUUGAUUUUGAUUUUGAUUUUGAGUUCAACUUUGAUGUUGAUUUAGGGUUCGAAUGUCUUUUCGACUUUGCUUCAGCUCAAGAGCUCUGUGGUAUUUUAUUUUUGUUAUCUCACUCGGUGACUGUGUGGAUUUGGGGUUUCAAAAGCUAAGCAAUGGAAGGUCGGGUUAGGGUUUCCAAAAUUGAGAGAAUGAUGGAGUUCAAUUUUGAUUUUGAUUUCGGCUUUGAUUUCGAUUGGUUUGACUCACUACUCCGGGGUCAAGUUUUUGGUCGAUCAGAUGCAUCUUGGAUACUUUUUCUUACUCGCGCUGAGGAUUUCUUUGAUUUCGUUUGGAUUUAAUACUUCAAUGAAUAACUAAUUAACUAUUAAUUUGAGUGAUUAUGCCACUAUUUGAUUCUUGAAUUGCAGACGAGAUGGUGAGGAGGCAGGCUUUGCUACCAGGAGACUCGAG
This 631-nucleotide long non-coding RNA is filed under the name Prunus persica (peach). RNAcentral describes it as "long non-coding RNA (PPER_LNC000498)". The record is from RNAcentral. Lineage: Eukaryota; Viridiplantae; Streptophyta; Magnoliopsida; Rosales; Rosaceae.